This 305-nucleotide small RNA is filed under the name Pongo abelii (Sumatran orangutan). Its description in RNAcentral is "processed transcript". Lineage: Eukaryota; Metazoa; Chordata; Mammalia; Primates; Hominidae. The record is from RNAcentral.
CUCAGAAUUUGAUCAGAUCGACACAUCCAGCCCAAACUGUGUGGUAAUUGCAGACGCAGGAGAAAGCUUUUCCUACCAAAACGUGAAUAACGCCUUUCAGGUGCUCAUGGAGCUGGAAAAUCCUGUGCUCAUAUCACUGGGAAAAGGCAUCCACGGGUUCCUCUUUGUGGCUAGAACAUUCACGUCCUAAGUGGGGCUGCCGUUGGCCAGGUUAAACCAGUAACCAGUAACAGGAGAAAUCCAUCGCAUCUCUAGUGUGUGGAGGUUACCGGGCUUUCAUAUUAAAAAAAAAUUUUAAGUGCUUA